UAGAGUUUGAUUCAUGGCUCAGAGUGAACGCUGGCGGCGUGCCUAAUACAUGCAAGUCGAACGAUGAAGCUUCUAGCUUGCUAGAAGUGGAUUAGUGGCGCACGGGUGAGUAACGCAUAGGUCAUGCGCCUCUUAGUUUGGGAUAGCCAUUGGAAACGAUGAUUAAUACCAGAUACUCCCUACGGGGGAAAGAUUUAUCGCUAAGAGAUCAGCCUAUGUCCUAUCAGCUUGUUGGUAAGGUAAUGGCUUACCAAGGCUAUGACGGGUAUCCGGCCUGAGAGGGUGAACGGACACACUGGAACUGAGACACGGUCCAGACUCCUACGGGAGGCAGCAGUAGGGAAUAUUGCUCAAUGGGGGAAACCCUGAAGCAGCAACGCCGCGUGGAGGAUGAAGGUUUUAGGAUUGUAAACUCCUUUUGUUAGAGAAGAUAAUGACGGUAUCUAACGAAUAAGCACCGGCUAACUCCGUGCCAGCAGCCGCGGUAAUACGGAGGGUGCAAGCGUUACUCGGAAUCACUGGGCGUAAAGAGCGCGUAGGCGGGAUAGUCAGUCAGGUGUGAAAUCCUAUGGCUUAACCAUAGAACUGCAUUUGAAACUACUAUUCUAGAGUGUGGGAGAGGUAGGUGGAAUUCUUGGUGUAGGGGUAAAAUCCGUAGAGAUCAAGAGGAAUACUCAUUGCGAAGGCGACCUGCUGGAACAUUACUGACGCUGAUUGCGCGAAAGCGUGGGGAGCAAACAGGAUUAGAUACCCUGGUAGUCCACGCCCUAAACGAUGGAUGCUAGUUGUUGGAGGGCUUAGUCUCUCCAGUAAUGCAGCUAACGCAUUAAGCAUCCCGCCUGGGGAGUACGGUCGCAAGAUUAAAACUCAAAGGAAUAGACGGGGACCCGCACAAGCGGUGGAGCAUGUGGUUUAAUUCGAAGAUACACGAAGAACCUUACCUAGGCUUGACAUUGAGAGAAUCCGCUAGAAAUAGUGGAGUGUCUAGCUUGCUAGACCUUGAAAACAGGUGCUGCACGGCUGUCGUCAGCUCGUGUCGUGAGAUGUUGGGUUAAGUCCCGCAACGAGCGCAACCCCCUUUCUUAGUUGCUAACAGGUUAUGCUGAGAACUCUAAGGAUACUGCCUCCGUAAGGAGGAGGAAGGUGGGGACGACGUCAAGUCAUCAUGGCCCUUACGCCUAGGGCUACACACGUGCUACAAUGGGGUGCACAAAGAGAAGCAAUACUGCGAAGUGGAGCCAAUCUUCAAAACACCUCUCAGUUCGGAUUGUAGGCUGCAACUCGCCUGCAUGAAAGCGUGGAAUCGCUAGUAAUCGCAAAUCAGCCAUGUUGCGGUGAAUACGUUCCCGGGUCUUGUACUCACCGCCCGUCACACCAUGGGAGUUGUGUUUGCCUUAAGUCAGGAGUGCUAAAUUGGCUACUGCCCACGGCACACACAGCGACUGGGGUGAAGUCGUAACAAGGUAACCGUA
RNAcentral lists this ribosomal RNA (1472 nucleotides) under Helicobacter pylori. RNAcentral describes it as "16S ribosomal RNA". It matches the Rfam family "Bacterial small subunit ribosomal RNA". The record is from RNAcentral. Lineage: Bacteria; Pseudomonadati; Campylobacterota; Epsilonproteobacteria; Campylobacterales; Helicobacteraceae.